RNAcentral lists this transfer RNA (77 nucleotides) under Escherichia coli. Its description in RNAcentral is "tRNA-Arg". It matches the Rfam family "tRNA". Rfam says of the family: Transfer RNA (tRNA) molecules are approximately 80 nucleotides in length. Their secondary structure includes four short double-helical elements and three loops (D, anti-codon, and T loops). Further hydrogen bonds mediate the characteristic L-shaped molecular structure. tRNAs have two regions of fundamental functional importance: the anti-codon, which is responsible for specific mRNA codon recognition, and the 3' end, to which the tRNAs corresponding amino acid is attached (by aminoacyl-tRNA synthetases). tRNAs cope with the degeneracy of the genetic code in two manners: having more than one tRNA (with a specific anti-codon) for a particular amino acid; and 'wobble' base-pairing, i.e. permitting non-standard base-pairing at the 3rd anti-codon position. RNAcentral also lists the same sequence under 1 other name. The record is from RNAcentral. Lineage: Bacteria; Pseudomonadati; Pseudomonadota; Gammaproteobacteria; Enterobacterales; Enterobacteriaceae.
CCGCCAUUAGCUCAUCAGGAAAGAGCGCCAGCCUUCGAAGCUGGUUGCGCGGGGUUCGGGUCCCCGAAGGCGGUCCA